This 96-nucleotide microRNA precursor is filed under the name Nicotiana sylvestris (wood tobacco). Its description in RNAcentral is "MIR6152 microRNA precursor family". It matches the Rfam family "MIR6152 microRNA precursor family". Lineage: Eukaryota; Viridiplantae; Streptophyta; Magnoliopsida; Solanales; Solanaceae. RNAcentral also lists the same sequence under 1 other name. The record is from Rfam by way of RNAcentral.
UGGACAGAUUAUUGUAUUUGACUGUAUUCACGGCGUGAAACAGAGGAUUACACUGUUUUUAAACGAAAAGUGAAUUUAUUAAUAUAAUAGACUCCU